Molecule: long non-coding RNA, 1374 nt
Filed under: Eutrema salsugineum
Lineage: Eukaryota; Viridiplantae; Streptophyta; Magnoliopsida; Brassicales; Brassicaceae
Description: long non-coding RNA (ESAL_LNC001600)
Source: RNAcentral
GUUUCUUGGCGACCACGGCGGUUGCGAUGAUAUGGUCCCCUAAAAUCAAACGACGUCGUUUGAUAUUUCAUCCCCAAAAUUGAAACAUGAACCCUAAUUCCUUAAUCGGCAUGAAAUGUCGACUUCUCCUUCAGCUUCAAACGUGUCGAUCCCUUUCAUUGGCCUUCUCACGCGAAAUUGAGAGCAGCUAGGUAACGGGAAAGUGAGAGUGAUAUAGCUUGAGAAGAGGGUUUUCGGAUUCGUCGAGUUUGGAGCGAUUGUGGUCAAUUGAUAUGCUUACUCCUCCUGGAGUAGUUGAUGCUUACUCCUCCUCAGCUGCGACUGCGACGGCGUCUUAUGUGACGGUGGAUACGACGCCGUAUUACAUAAUGGAUAGGAAUGCUCAGAGCUUGGCUUGGCGAGAGGCUGUUGGUAAAUAUGGCACAGAUCCUCUUGCAAUUACAGGAGCUGUAUGUUGUUUCUCUUUCCUUUCAUAGAUAAUCUGAAUAUUUAGAUGAGGAAGGCUAUGAAUUUUUCUCCUUCUAUUUGGGAAAUCAGUGGAUCAAGAUGAUGACUUUUAUGGACGACUUAGUGUGCUUCACGUUCACGCCUGUGUGAGUUUAGGAUCUGUAAAUAAAGGCAGGUCCUUUGCAACAAGUUCUUGAUGCGUCAGUGAAUUUUCAGUUUUAAAGUAUUAGUAGUACUCCUCUGUGAUUGCUCUGUUUUGCUUAGACAUCAACGUAUAAUGUCUUGAGAUUCUUGUUUGCACAAUUGAUAUGUUUGCUUUAUAUUUCAUUCCGUGCAAGGUCCUUUAAGGUGAUCUGCUUAUGCUUCAUACUUGCUCUAGAGAAGGAUACGCCAUGUAAACAAGUUCUAGGAUCCGAAGAAAUCGUCUCGAUAUUUAUUUGCUUAUUAUCUUGGCGGUGUGCUCAAUUUGACGGUUAAUUGAUAAUUGCUGGUAUUUUUUUUUUUUUUUUUUUUGUAAUUGAGGAUGAAUCAGGGUGCAACAGAGCAGCCUUAUAGCAUAUACCCGGGCUUCUCUUGUCCAAGCCACAUAGAGUAAGCUCAACUUCCUGGAUUUGUCUCACCGAAGAACAGUCAAAGAAGGCGAAGGUUGUUCGAUCUGCUUACUUUGAGUUAAGUUUGUAAGGUUGACUGUAACGGUCCGAAUGUAUCGAGCAACAUAAGUUGGGGAAGAAACACUUAAAGAACUUCGGAGAAGUUAAAAACAUGCUUACCCUUACCGUGUAACAUAGGUUCUUCUUCUUCGGCUGGACCAACCAUUGCAAGGCUAAGAAGAACGGGAAGAAAGGUGCGGAAUUAACAGAAGGGUUUAGAAUCAAAGAGACGGAAAGUCAUGGAAUGUGGGGCCACAAAUGAGUCUAAUUAGAUUGU